AGAGUUUGAUCCUGGCUCAGGAUGAACGCUGGCGGUAUGCCUAACACAUGCAAGUCGAACGAAGCCUUCGGGCUUAGUGGCGGACGGGGGAGUAACGCGUGAGAAUCUGCCUUCAGGACGGGGCAACAGUUGGAAACGACUGCUAAUACCCGAUAUGCCGAGAGGUGAAAUGUUUUUUCGCCUGAAGAUGAGCUCGCGUCUGAUUAGCUAGUUGGUGGGGUAAGAGCCUACCAAGGCGACGAUCAGUAGCUGGUCUGAGAGGAUGAGCAGCCACACUGGGACUGAGACACGGCCCAGACUCCUACGGGAGGCAGCAGUGGGGAAUUUUCCGCAAUGGGCGAAAGCCUGACGGAGCAAUACCGCGUGAGGGAGGAAGGUCUUUGGAGUGUAAACCGCUUUUCUCAAGGAAGAUGAUGACGGUACUUGAGGAAUCAGCAUCGGCUAACUUCGUGCCAGCAGCCGCGGUAAUACGAGGGAUGCAAGCGUUAUCCGGAAUUAUUGGGCGUAAAGCGUUCGUAGGCGGUCUUGGAAGGCUGUUGUUAAAGCGUGGAGCUUAACUCCAUACCGGCAAUGGAAACUGGUUAGCUAGAGUAUGGUAGGGGUAACAGGAAUUCCCAGUGUAGCGGUGAAAUGCGUAGAUAUUGGGAAGAACACCAGCGGCGAAAGCGUGUUACUGGGCCAUAACUGACGCUCAUGGACGAAAGCCAGGGGAGCGAAAGGGAUUAGAUACCCCUGUAGUCCUGGCCGUAAACGAUGAACACUAGGUGUCGGGGGAAUCGACCCCCUCGGUGUCGUAGCCAACGCGUUAAGUGUUCCGCCUGGGGAGUACGCACGCAAGUGUGAAACUCAAAGGAAUUGACGGGGGCCCGCACAAGCGGUGGAGUAUGUGGUUUAAUUCGAUGCAACGCGAAGAACCUUACCAGGGUUUGACAUCCUGCGAAUCUCUUGGAAACGAGAGAGUGCCUUCGGGAACGCAGUGACAGGUGGUGCAUGGCUGUCGUCAGCUCGUGUCGUGAGAUGUUGGGUUAAGUCCCGCAACGAGCGCAACCCACGUCGUUAGUUGCCAGCAUUUAGUUGGGCACUCUAGCGAGACCGCCGGUGAUAAACCGGAGGAAGGUGUGGAUGACGUCAAGUCAUCAUGCCCCUUACAUCCUGGGCUACACACGUACUACAAUGCUACGGACAAAGGGCAGCAAACUCGCGAGAGCUAGCAAAUCCCAUAAACCGUGGCUCAGUUCAGAUCGUAGGCUGCAACUCGCCUACGUGAAGGAGGAAUCGCUAGUAAUCGCAGGUCAGCAUACUGCGGUGAAUACGUUCCCGGGCCUUGUACACACCGCCCGUCACACCAUGGAAGUUGGCCACGCCCGAAGCCGUUACCCUAACCGUAAGGAGGGGGACCCCUAAGGCAGGGCUGAUGACUGGGGUGAAGUCGUAACAAGGUAACC
This 1445-nucleotide ribosomal RNA is filed under the name uncultured prokaryote. RNAcentral's name for it is "partial 16S ribosomal RNA". It matches the Rfam family "Bacterial small subunit ribosomal RNA". The record is from RNAcentral.